Lolium perenne is the source of this 455-nucleotide non-coding RNA. NCBI's taxonomy places the organism in Eukaryota, Viridiplantae, Streptophyta, Magnoliopsida, Poales, Poaceae. The record is from RefSeq and is a predicted model, not a curated record.
CUCCACCUCCCCCUCUUAGCCCGCCAGAGUGCCACGGCGCAGCCUCGGCCGCUCCCUCGCCAAGGAAAGCAGGCCUUGCUCGCGGUCACCGCAAGGUGACGUGCAAGAACCGCCGGAGCAUGCCGCCAUAGCUGCUGGCGCCCGGAAACAGCUGCGAGCACGGAACCGUCGGGCGGAGCUGCUGCGGGAGAGGGAAACGUCGCUGAGCCGUCCCUGGGCAGCCCCACCUCGUCACCACCCUGCCCAGCCGUCGCCGACUAUCACCGCUCGCCGCCGGGGAUACUUAGUUGGGCCAUGGUGAUGCCGAGAAAGGCAUUUGCUAAGUAUGAUACUCUCAUACCUUUACUAGAUGCGAACAAUUCGGAGAAGAAGGAGAAGUGGUUCGGGCGAGGAUUUUAUUUUUAUUGUUGGGAUUCUUAUAUUGAUGGAGUUGAAGAAGUCCAGGGACAAAUAAG